This 465-nucleotide ribosomal RNA is filed under the name uncultured bacterium. Its description in RNAcentral is "partial 16S ribosomal RNA". It matches the Rfam family "Bacterial small subunit ribosomal RNA", at positions 338 to 795 of the family's 1533-position model. The record is from RNAcentral.
CCUACGGGAGGCUGCAGUGGGGAAUAUUGCGCAAUGGGCGAAAGCCUGACGCAGCGACGCCGCGUGAGGGAUGAAGGUCUUCGGAUCGUAAAACUCUGUCAGCAGGGAAGAACGGUCACUGUGCUAAUCAGCAGUGAAUUGACGGUACCUGCAAAGGAAGCACCGGCUAACUCCGUGCCAGCAGCCGCGGUAAUACGGAGGGUGCGGGCGUUAAUCGGAAUUACUGGGCGGAAAGCGCUCGUAGGCGGGAUGUCAAGUCAAGGGUGAAAUCCCCGCGCUCAACGUGGGAACUGCCUUUGAAACUGGCAAACUGGAGUGUGGUAGAGGAUAGUGGAAUUCCAGGUGUAGGAGUGAAAUCCGUAGAUAUCUGGAGGAACAUCAGUGGCGAAGGCGACUAUCUGGCACAUAACUGACGCUGAGGAGCGAAAGCGUGGGUAGCAAACAGGAUUAGAUACCCCUGUAGUC